AUCCUACGGGAGGCAGCAGUGAGGAAUAUUGGUCAAUGGGCGGGAGCCUGAACCAGCCAAGUCGCGUGAGGGACGACGGUCCUAUGGAUUGCAAACCUCUUUUGUCGGGGAACAAAGGCGCCCACGGGUGGGCGGAUGAGUGUACCCGAAGAAAAAGCAUCGGCUAACUCCGUGCCAGCAGCCGCGGUAAUACGGAGGAUGCGAGCGUUAUCCGGAUUUAUUGGGUUUAAAGGGUGCGUAGGCGGUCCGGAAAGUCAGCGGUAAAAGCCCGGGGCUCAACCCCGGCGAGCCGUUGAAACUGCCGG
This 305-nucleotide ribosomal RNA is filed under the name uncultured bacterium. Its description in RNAcentral is "bacterial SSU rRNA". It matches the Rfam family "Bacterial small subunit ribosomal RNA", at positions 335 to 639 of the family's 1533-position model. The record is from RNAcentral.